AAAGCGUGCGCAGGCGGUUUUGUAAGACAGGCGUGAAAUCCCCGGGCUUAACCUGGGAAUUGCGCUUGUGACUGCAAGGCUAGAGUACGGUAGAGGGGGGUAGAAUUCCGCGUGUAGCAGUGAAAUGCGUAGAUAUGCGGAGGAACACCGAUGGCGAAGGCAGCCCCCUGGACCUGUACUGACGCUCAUGCACGAAAGCGUGGGGAGCAAACAGGAUUAGAUACCCGAGU
This 230-nucleotide ribosomal RNA is filed under the name uncultured bacterium. RNAcentral's name for it is "partial 16S ribosomal RNA". It matches the Rfam family "Bacterial small subunit ribosomal RNA", at positions 562 to 791 of the family's 1533-position model. The record is from RNAcentral.